RNAcentral lists this ribosomal RNA (752 nucleotides) under uncultured bacterium. Its description in RNAcentral is "bacterial SSU rRNA". It matches the Rfam family "Bacterial small subunit ribosomal RNA", at positions 33 to 773 of the family's 1533-position model. The record is from RNAcentral.
ACGCUGGCGGCAGGCCUAACACAUGCAAGUCGAGCGGUAGCACGGGAGAGCUUGCUCUCUGGGUGACGAGCGGCGGACGGGUGAGUAAUGUCUGGGAAACUGCCUGAUGGAGGGGGAUAACUACUGGAAACGGUAGCUAAUACCGCAUGACCUCGCAAGAGCAAAGUGGGGGACCUUCGGGCCUCACGCCGUCGGAUGUGCCCAGACGGGAUUAGCUAGUAGGUGGGGUAAUGGCUCACCUAGGCGACGAUCCCUAGCUGGUCUGAGAGGAUGACCAGCCACACUGGAACUGAGACACGGUCCAGACUCCUACGGGAGGCAGCAGUGGGGAAUAUUGCACAAUGGGCGCAAGCCUGAUGCAGCCAUGCCGCGUGUGUGAAGAAGGCCUUAGGGUUGUAAAGCACUUUCAGCGAGGAGGAAGGCGUUGUAGUUAAUAGCUGCAACGAUUGACGUUACUCGCAGAAGAAGCACCGGCUAACUCCGUGCCAGCAGCCGCGGUAAUACGGAGGGUGCAAGCGUUAAUCGGAAUUACUGGGCGUAAAGCGCACGCAGGCGGUUUGUUAAGUCAGAUGUGAAAUCCCCGAGCUUAACUUGGGAACUGCAUUUGAAACUGGCAAGCUAGAGUCUUGUAGAGGGGGGGUAGAAUUCCAGGUGUAGCGGUGAAAUGCGUAGAGAUCUGGAGGAAUACCGGUGGCGAAGGCGGCCCCCUGGACAAAGACUGACGCUCAGGUGCGAAAGCGUGGGGAGCAAAC